This 747-nucleotide ribosomal RNA is filed under the name Pantoea agglomerans. RNAcentral's name for it is "bacterial SSU rRNA". It matches the Rfam family "Bacterial small subunit ribosomal RNA", at positions 44 to 782 of the family's 1533-position model. Lineage: Bacteria; Pseudomonadati; Pseudomonadota; Gammaproteobacteria; Enterobacterales; Erwiniaceae. The record is from RNAcentral.
GGGGCCUACACAUGCAGUCGAGCGGCAGCGGAAGUAGCUUGCUACUUUGCCGGCGAGCGGCGGACGGGUGAGUAAUGUCUGGGAAACUGCCUGAUGGAGGGGGAUAACUACUGGAAACGGUAGCUAAUACCGCAUAACGUCGCAAGACCAAAGAGGGGGACCUUCGGGCCUCUUGCCAUCAGAUGUGCCCAGAUGGGAUUAGCUAGUAGGUGGGGUAACGGCUCACCUAGGCGACGAUCCCUAGCUGGUCUGAGAGGAUGACCAGCCACACUGGAACUGAGACACGGUCCAGACUCCUACGGGAGGCAGCAGUGGGGAAUAUUGCACAAUGGGCGCAAGCCUGAUGCAGCCAUGCCGCGUGUAUGAAGAAGGCCUUCGGGUUGUAAAGUACUUUCAGCGGGGAGGAAGGUGUUGAGGUUAAUAACCUCAGCAAUUGACGUUACCCGCAGAAGAAGCACCGGCUAACUCCGUGCCAGCAGCCGCGGUAAUACGGAGGGUGCAAGCGUUAAUCGGAAUUACUGGGCGUAAAGCGCACGCAGGCGGUCUGUCAAGUCAGAUGUGAAAUCCCCGGGCUCAACCUGGGAACUGCAUUCGAAACUGGCAGGCUAGAGUCUUGUAGAGGGGGGUAGAAUUCCAGGUGUAGCGGUGAAAUGCGUAGAGAUCUGGAGGAAUACCGGUGGCGAAGGCGGCCCCCUGGACAAAGACUGACGCUCAGGUGCGAAAGCGUGGGGAGCACACAGGAUUAGA